GGAUGAACGCUAGCGACAGGCUUAACACAUGCAAGUCGAGGGGCAGCGGGGGUAGCAAUACCCGCCGGCGACCGGCGCACGGGUGAGUAACGCGUAUGCAACUUACCUAUCAGAGGGGGAUAACCCGGCGAAAGUCGGACUAAUACCGCAUGAAGCAGGGGCCCCGCAUGGGGAUAUUUGCUAAAGAUUCAUCGCUGAUAGAUAGGCAUGCGUUCCAUUAGGCAGUUGGCGGGGUAACGGCCCACCAAACCGACGAUGGGUAGGGGUUCUGAGAGGGAGGUCCCCCACAUUGGUACUGAGACACGGACCAAACUCCUACGGGAGGCAGCAGUGAGGAAUAUUGGUCAAUGGCCGAGAGGCUGAACCAGCCAAGUCGCGUGAGGGAUGAAGGUUCUAUGGAUCGUAAACCUCUUUUAUAAGGGAAUAAAGUGCGGGACGUGUCCCGUUUUGUAUGUACCUUAUGAAUAAGGAUCGGCUAACUCCGUGCCAGCAGCCGCGGUAAUACGGAGGAUCCGAGCGUUAUCCGGAUUUAUUGGGUUUAAAGGGUGCGUAGGCGGCCUUUUAAGUCAGCGGUGAAAGUCUGUGGCUCAACCAUAGAAUUGCCGUUGAAACUGGGGGGCUUGAGUAUGUUUGAGGCAGGCGGAAUGCGUGGUGUAGCGGUGAAAUGCAUAGAUAUCACGCAGAACCCCGAUUGCGAAGGCAGCCUGCCAAGCCAUGACUGACGCUGAUGCACGAAAGCGUGGGGAUCAAACAGGAUUAGAUACCCUGGUAGUCCACGCAGUAAACGAUGAUCACUAGCUGUUUGCGAUACACUGUAAGCGGCACAGCGAAAGCGUUAAGUGAUCCACCUGGGGAGUACGCCGGCAACGGUGAAACUCAAAGGAAUUGACGGGGGCCCGCACAAGCGGAGGAACAUGUGGUUUAAUUCGAUGAUACGCGAGGAACCUUACCCGGGUUUGAACGCAUUCGGACCGAGGUGGAAACACCUUUUCUAGCAAUAGCCGUUUGCGAGGUGCUGCAUGGUUGUCGUCAGCUCGUGCCGUGAGGUGUCGGCUUAAGUGCCAUAACGAGCGCAACCCUUGCCACUAGUUACUAACAGGUAAAGCUGAGGACUCUGGUGGGACUGCCAGCGUAAGCUGCGAGGAAGGCGGGGAUGACGUCAAAUCAGCACGGCCCUUACAUCCGGGGCGACACACGUGUUACAAUGGCGUGGACAAAGGGAGGCCACCUGGCGACAGGGAGCGAAUCCCCAAACCACGUCUCAGUUCGGAUCGGAGUCUGCAACCCGACUCCGUGAAGCUGGAUUCGCUAGUAAUCGCGCAUCAGCCAUGGCGCGGUGAAUACGUUCCCGGGCCUUGUACACACCGCCCGUCAAGCCAUGGGAGCCGGGGGUACCUGAAGUCCGUAACCGCGAGGAUCGGCCUAGGGUAAAACUGGUGACUGG
This 1444-nucleotide ribosomal RNA is filed under the name uncultured organism. RNAcentral's name for it is "16S ribosomal RNA". It matches the Rfam family "Bacterial small subunit ribosomal RNA". The record is from RNAcentral.